Zingiber officinale is the source of this 341-nucleotide long non-coding RNA. RefSeq lists it as uncharacterized. NCBI's taxonomy places the organism in Eukaryota, Viridiplantae, Streptophyta, Magnoliopsida, Zingiberales, Zingiberaceae. The transcript has 3 exons. The record is from RefSeq and is a predicted model, not a curated record.
GACAGAGAUUAGGAAAUUAGAGAUGAAACUGGAAAAGAAAAGAUCUUCCUCUAUGGGGAAAAUUCUGAACAAACUUAGAUCAGCUCAGACGAAAGCCGAGGAAAUGCGAAAUGCAGUGGCUGAUAGACGAACCAACCGGGUAGCAGCGACUGCCAAAAACACCAAGUUCUUCUGCAAGAGUGGUCGUUUAAGCUCCCUGACUGGCUGCUUUGCUUGCCACACUAGCCCUCUGUAAUGUGAACCUCGCUAAAAUGAAGCCUUCGCCAAUUAACAAACAAUAGGUGGAUGACUGCGAAAGGAACUUCAACAUGGAUAUCAAGAUUCAUUAUUUAGGUUAAACA